GGGCCCGCACAAGCGGUGGAGCAUGUGGUUUAAUUCGAUGAUACGCGAGGAACCUUACCAGGGCUUAAAUGUAGUGGGACAGGUCUAGAGAUAGACCCUUCUUCGGACUCAUUACAAGGUGCUGCAUGGUUGUCGUCAGCUCGUGCCGUGAGGUGUCAGGUUAAGUCCUAUAACGAGCGCAACCCCUAUCGUUAGUUGCCAGCGAGUAAUGUCGGGAACUCUAACGAAACUGCCAGUGCAAACUGUGAGGAAGGUGGGGAUGACGUCAAAUCAUCACGGCCCUUACGUCCUGGGCUACACACGUGCUACAAUGGCCGGUACAGAGAGCAGCCACUUCGCAAGAAGGAGCGAAUCUAUUAAAACCGGUCUCAGUUCAGAUCGUAGGCUGCAACUCGCCUACGUGAAGGAGGAAUC
RNAcentral lists this ribosomal RNA (414 nucleotides) under uncultured bacterium. RNAcentral's name for it is "bacterial SSU rRNA". It matches the Rfam family "Bacterial small subunit ribosomal RNA", at positions 917 to 1333 of the family's 1533-position model. The record is from RNAcentral.